GACGAACGCUGGCGGCGUGCCUAAUACAUGCAAGUCGAACGAAACGCGACUAGGUGUUUGCACUUGGCCAAGGUGAGUGGCGAACGGGAGAGUAACACGUGGGUAACCUACCUCAUAGUGAGGGAUAACAGACUGAAACGACUGCUAAUACCGCAUAGGACCUAGGAUCACAUGAUUGUGUGAGGACAGGUGGCGCAAGCUAUCGCUCAGCGAUGGACCCGCGGUGCAUUAGCUAGUUGGUAGGGUAAUGGCCUACCAAGGCGAUGAUGCAUAGCCGACCGCAGUGGGGGAUCGGCGACAUUAGGACUGGAACGCGGACCAUACUCCUACGGGACGCAGCAGUAUGGUAUGGGCCGCAGUGGACGCGAGUCUUGCGCAGUAGCGCCGCGUGAGUGAAGGAGGUCUUGGGAGCGUAAUGCCGGGCUGUGAGUGGUGAACAGCGUAUAGAGGAGCUGUUGUGCGUGUGACGGUAACUAGCCAGAAAGCAACGGCUAACUACGUG
RNAcentral lists this ribosomal RNA (502 nucleotides) under uncultured bacterium. Its description in RNAcentral is "partial 16S ribosomal RNA". It matches the Rfam family "Bacterial small subunit ribosomal RNA", at positions 28 to 507 of the family's 1533-position model. The record is from RNAcentral.